Molecule: ribosomal RNA, 553 nt
Filed under: Bactrocera oleae (olive fruit fly)
Lineage: Eukaryota; Metazoa; Arthropoda; Insecta; Diptera; Tephritidae
Description: partial large subunit ribosomal RNA
Rfam family: Bacterial large subunit ribosomal RNA (bases 305-464)
Source: RNAcentral
UAAUCAUUAGUCUUUUAAUUGAAGGCUGGUAUGAACGGUUGGACGAGGUAUAAGCUGUUUCAUAUAAAUUUAUAAUAGAAUUUUAUAUUUUAGUCAAAAAGCUAAAAUAUAUUUAAAAGACGAGAAGACCCUAUAAAUCUUUAUAUUUUGUGUUGUUUAAAUUUUUUGGAAUUGGUUUAUUUUUAUAAUAUAAAAUAUUUUGUUGGGGUGAUAUUAAAAUUUAAUUAACUUUUAAUUAUUUAAAAUCAUUAAUUUAUGAAUUAUUGAUCCAUUAAUAGUGAUUAUAAGAUUAAGUUACUUUAGGGAUAACAGCGUAAUUUUUUUGGAGAGUUCAUAUCGAUAAAAAAGUUUGCGACCUCGAUGUUGGAUUAAGAUAUAAUUUUAGGUGUAGUCGCUUAAAUGUUAAGUCUGUUCGACUUUUAAAUUCUUACAUGAUCUGAGUUCAGACCGGCGUAAGCCAGGUUGGUUUCUAUCUUUAAAUUUUUAUAAUGCCUUAGUACGAAAGGACCAGGCAUUAAAAUAAUAAUAUUUUAUUUAUAGAAUGUGAUUAAUU